This 1381-nucleotide ribosomal RNA is filed under the name uncultured bacterium. Its description in RNAcentral is "bacterial SSU rRNA". It matches the Rfam family "Bacterial small subunit ribosomal RNA", at positions 18 to 1394 of the family's 1533-position model. The record is from RNAcentral.
CCUGGCUCAGGAUGAACGCUAGCUACAGGCUUAACACAUGCAAGUCGAGGGGCAGCAUGGUCUUAGCUUGCUAAGGCCGAUGGCGACCGGCGCACGGGUGAGUAACACGUAUCCAACCUGCCGUCUACUCUUGGACAGCCUUCUGAAAGGAAGAUUAAUACAAGAUGGCAUCAUGAGUCCGCAUGUUCACAUGAUUAAAGGUAUUCCGGUAGACGAUGGGGAUGCGUUCCAUUAGAUAGUAGGCGGGGUAACGGCCCACCUAGUCUUCGAUGGAUAGGGGUUCUGAGAGGAAGGUCCCCCACAUUGGAACUGAGACACGGUCCAAACUCCUACGGGAGGCAGCAGUGAGGAAUAUUGGUCAAUGGGCGAGAGCCUGAACCAGCCAAGUAGCGUGAAGGAUGACUGCCCUAUGGGUUGUAAACUUCUUUUAUAAAGGAAUAAAGUCGGGUAUGGAUACCCGUUUGCAUGUACUUUAUGAAUAAGGAUCGGCUAACUCCGUGCCAGCAGCCGCGGUAAUACGGAGGAUCCGAGCGUUAUCCGGAUUUAUUGGGUUUAAAGGGAGCGUAGAUGGAUGUUUAAGUCAGUUGUGAAAGUUUGCGGCUCAACCGUAAAAUUGCAGUUGAUACUGGAUAUCUUGAGUGCAGUUGAGGCAGGCGGAAUUCGUGGUGUAGCGGUGAAAUGCUUAGAUAUCACGAAGAACUCCGAUUGCGAAGGCAGCCUGCUAAGCUGCAACUGACAUUGAGGCUCGAAAGUGUGGGUAUCAAACAGGAUUAGAUACCCUGGUAGUCCACACGGUAAACGAUGAAUACUCGCUGUUUGCGAUAUACUGCAAGCGGCCAAGCGAAAGCGUUAAGUAUUCCACCUGGGGAGUACGCCGGCAACGGUGAAACUCAAAGGAAUUGACGGGGGCCCGCACAAGCGGAGGAACAUGUGGUUUAAUUCGAUGAUACGCGAGGAACCUUACCCGGGCUUAAAUUGCAGAUGAAUUACGGUGAAAGCCGUAAGCCGCAAGGCAUCUGUGAAGGUGCUGCAUGGUUGUCGUCAGCUCGUGCCGUGAGGUGUCGGCUUAAGUGCCAUAACGAGCGCAACCCUUGUUGUCAGUUACUAACAGGUUCCGCUGAGGACUCUGACAAGACUGCCAUCGUAAGAUGUGAGGAAGGUGGGGAUGACGUCAAAUCAGCACGGCCCUUACGUCCGGGGCUACACACGUGUUACAAUGGGGGGUACAGAGGGCCGCUACCACGCGAGUGGAUGCCAAUCCCCAAAACCUCUCUCAGUUCGGACUGGAGUCUGCAACCCGACUCCACGAAGCUGGAUUCGCUAGUAAUCGCGCAUCAGCCACGGCGCGGUGAAUACGUUCCCGGGCCUUGUACACACCGCC